AGCAGCCGCGGUAAUUCCAGCUCCAAUAGCGUAUAUUAAAGUUGUUGCAGUUAAAAAGCUCGUAGUCGAACUUCGGGAUCAAUUGAUAUGGUCAUGCCUUGGUAUGUACUGUUCAUAUUGGUUCUCACCUUCUAAUGAACCAUAAUGUCAUUUAUUUGAUGUUAUGGGGAAUUAGGACUGUUACCUUGAAAAAAUUAGAGUGUUUAAAGCAGGCUCACGCUUGAAUACAUUAGCAUGGAAUAAUGAAAUAGGACAUCGCAUUCUAUUUUGUUGGUUUCUAGGAUCGAUGUAAUGAUUAAUAGGGAUAGUUGGGGGCAUUAGUAUUCAAUUGUCAGAGGUGAAAUUCUUGGAUUUAUUGAAGACUAACUACUGCGAAAGCAUUUGCCAAGGAUGUUUUCAUUAAUCAAAGAACGAAAGUUAGGGGAUCGAAGACGAUCAGAUACCGUCGUAGUCUUAACCCAUAAACUAUGCCGACUAGGGAUCGGAUGAUGUUAAUUUUUU
Molecule: ribosomal RNA, 501 nt
Filed under: uncultured fungus
Lineage: Eukaryota; Fungi
Description: SSU rRNA
Rfam family: Eukaryotic small subunit ribosomal RNA
Source: RNAcentral